AAGUCAGCUUGCUGACUUUGAUGGCGACCGGCGCACGGGUGAGUAACGCGUAUCCAACCUGCCUUACACUCUUGGACAGCCUUCUGAAAGGAAGAUUAAUACAAGAUGGCAUCAUGAGUCCGCAUGUUCACAUGAUUAAAGGUAUUCCGGUAGACGAUGGGGAUGCGUUCCAUUAGAUAGUAGGCGGGGUAACGGCCCACCUAGUCAACGAUGGAUAGGGGUUCUGAGAGGAAGGUCCCCACAUUGGAACUGAGACACGGUCCAAACUCC
Molecule: ribosomal RNA, 270 nt
Filed under: uncultured Bacteroides sp.
Lineage: Bacteria; Pseudomonadati; Bacteroidota; Bacteroidia; Bacteroidales; Bacteroidaceae
Description: partial 16S ribosomal RNA
Rfam family: Bacterial small subunit ribosomal RNA
Source: RNAcentral